This is a microRNA precursor of Gossypium arboreum, 145 nucleotides long. It matches the Rfam family "MIR7502 microRNA precursor family". The record is from Rfam. NCBI's taxonomy places the organism in Eukaryota, Viridiplantae, Streptophyta, Magnoliopsida, Malvales, Malvaceae.
CAAUUAGAUUUUUUUUUAUUUCUACUGUUAAAAAUUAAUGUGGCUUACGAAAUAAUAUGACAAUUACACAUCAUGUACCACGUGUACCUCAUGUUGACAUACAUUGACUAAUUUUUAAUAAUAGAAAUUGAUAAAAUUUUAAUAG